RNAcentral lists this ribosomal RNA (582 nucleotides) under Dyella sp. RNAcentral's name for it is "bacterial SSU rRNA". It matches the Rfam family "Bacterial small subunit ribosomal RNA", at positions 172 to 749 of the family's 1533-position model. The record is from RNAcentral. Lineage: Bacteria; Pseudomonadati; Pseudomonadota; Gammaproteobacteria; Lysobacterales; Rhodanobacteraceae.
CAUACGUCCUAAGGGAGAAAGCGGGGGACCGAAAGGCCUCGCGCGGUUGGACGAACCGAUGUGCGAUUAGCUAGUUGGUAGGGUAAUGGCCUACCAAGGCGACGAUCGCUAGCUGGUCUGAGAGGAUGAUCAGCCACACUGGAACUGAGACACGGUCCAGACUCCUACGGGAGGCAGCAGUGGGGAAUAUUGGACAAUGGGCGCAAGCCUGAUCCAGCAAUGCCGCGUGUGUGAAGAAGGCCUUCGGGUUGUAAAGCACUUUUAUCAGGAGCGAAAUACUACUGGCUAAUAACCGGUGGGGCUGACGGUACCUGAGGAAUAAGCACCGGCUAACUUCGUGCCAGCAGCCGCGGUAAUACGAAGGGUGCAAGCGUUAAUCGGAAUUACUGGGCGUAAAGCGUGCGUAGGCGGUUAUUUAAGUCUGUUGUGAAAUCCCCGGGCUCAACCUGGGAAUGGCAAUGGAUACUGGAUAGCUAGAGUGUGAUAGAGGAUGGUGGAAUUCCCGGUGUAGCGGUGAAAUGCGUAGAGAUCGGGAGGAACAUCAGUGGCGAAGGCGGCCAUCUGGAUCAACACUGACGCUGA